CAGGGAUUGCCUCAGUAACGGCGAGUGAAGCGGCAACAGCUCAAAUUUGAAAUCUGACCCCCCCGGGGCCUGAGUUGUAAUUUGUAGAGGGUGCUUCGGGCGCGGCGCCGGUCUAAGUUUCUUGGAACAGAACGUCGCAGAGGGUGAGAAUCCCGUACGUGACCGGUGACCAAGCCCGUGUGAAGCCCCUUCGACGAGUCGAGUUGUUUGGGAAUGCAGCUCAAAAUGGGUGGUAAAUUCCAUCUAAAGCUAAAUAUUGGCCAGAGACCGAUAGCGGACAAGUAGAGUGAUCGAAAGAUGAAAAGCACUUUGGAAAGAGAGUUAAACAGUACGUGAAAUUGUUGAAAGGGAAGCGCUUGCGACCAGACCGGUCCGGGGGCGAUCAGCCGCUGCUCGUCAGCGGUGCACUCGCCUCCGAUCCGGCCAGCAUCGGUUUGGGCGGCGGGAUAAAAGUCCCGGGAAUGUAGCUUCCCUCGGGGAGUCUUAUAGCCCGGGUCGCAAUGCCGCCCGCCUGGACCGAGGACCGCGCUUCGGCUAGGAUGCUGGCGUAAUGGUCGCAAGCGACCCGUCUUGAAACACGGACCAAGGAGUCUAACAUCUAUGCGAGUGUUUGGGUGUCAAACCCAGGCGCGGAAUGAAAGUGAACGGAGGUGGGAACCCGUCAGACGGCGCACCAUCGACCGAUCCUGAUGUCUUCGGAUGGAUUUGAGUAUGAGCAUAGCUGUUGGGACCCGAAAGAUGGUGAACUAUGCCCGGAUAGGGUGAAGCCAGAGGAAACUCUGGUGGAGGCUCGCAGCGGUUCUGACGUGCAAAUCGAUCGUCAAAUCUAGGCAUAGGGGCGAAAGACCAAUCGAGCCAUCUAG
Molecule: ribosomal RNA, 863 nt
Filed under: Ricasolia amplissima
Lineage: Eukaryota; Fungi; Ascomycota; Lecanoromycetes; Peltigerales; Lobariaceae
Description: LSU rRNA
Rfam family: Eukaryotic large subunit ribosomal RNA
Source: RNAcentral